Molecule: ribosomal RNA, 2454 nt
Filed under: Triticum aestivum (bread wheat)
Lineage: Eukaryota; Viridiplantae; Streptophyta; Magnoliopsida; Poales; Poaceae
Description: partial small subunit ribosomal RNA
Source: RNAcentral
AUGGGUCCUGCCGUUCUCUUCCUCCUCGUGCUUGCGGCUGUGGCACCAUUGCUCUCCGCGGUGAAGGCCUUGGACUAUCAUUCCAUGGCCAAACACUCUACGAUUUGGAUCAACAGCGACGAUUUCUUCGACAACCGCAACUACAGCCGCAACAUCCUAAGCAUAGCACAACUCCAAGCUCACUCCGACUUCGAACUCUACGUUGCCGCAGGGUUCUAUUGCGUCUCGUCCAUGUUCCCGUGCGACAAGUUCGUCUUUGCGGUAUCAAUUGGUGAUUUCACCAACACCAUGGUCGGCAUUUACAAUCGGCAGAUCGUCUGGUUCGCCAACAGGGCCCGCCCUGUCAGGGAGAAUGCCACCCUUGAGUUCACCGCAGAUGGAAACUUGGUCCUUCUUGAUGCUGAUGGUACCCACGUCUGGUCAAGCAACAUCUCAGGCCGAGGUGUAGAUGGCAUGAAGAUCACCGAGACCGGCAAUCUGCUCUUGUUUGAUCAGAAGAAUUCAACAGUGUGGCAAUCAUUUGAUUAUCCUACUGACGCAAUACUCGCUGGGCAGUCACUUGUCGAAGGUACGAGGCUCACUACAAAUACAUCUGCAACAAAUAUGUAUAUCAUUGUACAACGAGAUGGGUUAUUUGCUUAUGCUGAAUCCACGCCACCACAACUCUACUUUCAGUACAACAUGCAGAUUCCAAUAGCAAAGAUAGGAAAUUAUCCAACAAAGGCUACAUUAAUGAACGGAAGCCUUAGCUUCAUUUUGGGACAAGAUUUUCUGAAUGAAAGUAUCAAAUUACCAGUGGCUCAAUCCACACUACAGUACAUGAGAUUAGAUUCAGAUGGACACCUUAGACUGUAUGAAUGGUCAAGAUCUGCUGAGAGCUGGACAAUGGUGUAUGAUAUACUAGGGUCCAUGGGUAUGGAUGCUUGUGAUUACCCAACAGUUUGCGGGGAGUAUGGCGUAUGCUGAGGGGGGCAAUGCACAUGUCCACUUGAGAAAAAUUCAAGCUCAAGCUACUUCAAGCUCCUGGAUGAAGACAAGCCACACCAUGGUUGCACACCAUUAACUCGUAUCUCUUGUCAGGAAAUACAACACCAUCAGCUCUUGACCAUUCCCAACAUUUAUUACAAUGAUCAAAACUACAUAACGUACAACGAAACAACCAUGGAUGCCUGUAAGGAAACCUGCUUGAAGAAUUGCUCCUGCAUGGCCGUUUUGUCCACAGGUCUAAAAUGUGUGUGGGUGACGAAGAUCUUCUCCUUGCAUUCAAUAGAACCUCAAAAUGCUGGUUACAACUCCUCUGCUUACCUCAAGGUGCAACUUAGCCCCUCUAACGGAAACAGAGAUGAAUCCAAAAAGAAGGUGAUUUUCGGUGCUACACUUGGAGCUGUUACUACUCUUGUGUUGCUUGUUAUUGUUGUUGUUAUUUAUCUACGAAGGAGGAGAAAGUAUGAAGAGAAAGAUGAAGAAUUUGAUUUCGAUCAAUUGCCUGGAAUGCCAACGAGGUUUUCUUUCGAAAUGUUGAGAGAAUGCACUGAAGGGUUCAGUAGGAAGCUUGGAGAAGGUGGGUUCGGAUCGGUUUUUGAAGGCAAAUUAGGUGAAGUCAGAGUUGCAGUAAAACGUUUGGAAGGUUCGACACAAGGAAAGAAAGAAUUCUUGGCUGAGGUCGAGACCAUUGGCACCAUUGAACACAUCAAUCUUGUCAAGCUGAUUGGCUUUUGUGCAGAGAAGUCUGAGCGGCUUCUGGUAUAUGAAUAUGUGUCAAGAGGGUCGCUUGAUAGGUGGAUCUAUUACGAACAUGAAAACAACCCCCUUGACUGGUACACCCGGUGUAGGAUCAUUCUAGAUAUUGCCAAGGGCCUAUGCUAUCUUCAUGAGGACUGUAGGCGGAAAAUUGCCCAUUUGGACAUCAAACCACAAAAUAUUCUCUUGGAUGACAACUUCAAUGCCAAAGUGGCUGAUUUCGGACUUUGUAAGUUAAUAAAUAGGGAUCAAAGCAAGGUGGUGACCAUGAUGAGAGGAACACCUGGAUAUUUGGCACCUGAAUGGUUGACAUCGUCAAUCACCGAAAAAGUCGAUGUCUACAGCUUUGGAGUUGUUAUAAUGGAAAUAAUAAGUGGAAGAAAAAACAUCGACGACUCUCAGCCUGAGGACAGUGUCCAUCUCAUAAAUCUAUUGAGAGAAAAAGAACAAACCAAUCAGUUGAUUGAUUUGAUCGACAAGCACAGUGAUGAAAUGGUCUCACACGAGGAGGAAAUAAUUCGAAUGAUGAAGCUUGCCGUGUGGUGCUUACAAAGUGAUUGCGCCCGAAGGCCUUCCAUGUCAACUGUGAUCAAGGUAUUGGAAGGUGCAGAGCGCAUAGAAACUUUUGAUGCAAAUUCAAUCAUGUUUGUUCAAGAUAACCCAUCCACAUACUCAGCCCCAUCCCGAGCAUCCAUCUUAUCUGGCCCAAGGUGA